RNAcentral lists this ribosomal RNA (326 nucleotides) under uncultured bacterium. RNAcentral's name for it is "bacterial SSU rRNA". It matches the Rfam family "Bacterial small subunit ribosomal RNA", at positions 1179 to 1505 of the family's 1533-position model. The record is from RNAcentral.
AUGACGUCAAUCAUCAUGCCCCUUAUGACCUGGGCUACACACGUGCUACAAUGGUUGGUACAACGAGUUGCGAGUCGGUGACGGCAAGCUAAUCUCUUAAAGCCAAUCUCAGUUCGGAUUGUAGGCUGCAACUCGCCUACAUGAAGUCGGAAUCGCUAGUAAUCGCGGAUCAGCACGCCGCGGUGAAUACGUUCCCGGGCCUUGUACACACCGCCCGUCACACCACGAGAGUUUGUAACACCCGAAGUCGGUGAGGUAACCUUUUGGAGCCAGCCGCCUAAGGUGGGAUAGAUGAUUGGGGUGAAGUCGUAACAAGGUAACCGUUA